Molecule: ribosomal RNA, 495 nt
Filed under: uncultured bacterium
Lineage: Bacteria
Description: partial 16S ribosomal RNA
Rfam family: Bacterial small subunit ribosomal RNA
Source: RNAcentral
GAUGAACGCUAGCGGGAGGCCUAACACAUGCAAGCCGAGCGGUAUUUAUUCUUCGGAAUAGAGAGAGCGGCGUACGGGUGCGGAACACGUGCGCAACCUGCCUUUAUCAGGGGGAUAGCCUUUCGAAAGGAGGAUUAAUACCCCAUAAUAUAUUGAUUGGCAUCAAUUGAUAUUGAAAACUCCGGUGGAUAAAGAUGGGCACGCGCAAGAUUAGAUAGUUGGUGAGGUAACGGCUCACCAAGUCGAUGAUCUGUAGGCGGACUGAGAGAGUGAUCGCACACACUAGUGCUGAGAAACAGACCAAGAUCCGACGGGAGGGAGCAGUGAGGUAUAUUGGAAGAUGGGUAAGAGCCUGUUCCAGCCACCCCGCUUAAAGGACGACGGUGCUAUGGGUUGUAAACUUCUUGUAUAUAGGGAUAAACCUACUUACGUGUAAGUAGCGGGAAGUACUAUAUGAAUAAGCACCGGCUAACUACGUGCCAGCCGCCGCCGUAA